AUGACUCAAAAUAAUGAAAACAAUCAAAUUAGACACUAGGAACUGCAAUGGACGGAAAUUGAAUUAAAAGACUAACAACAAUGAAAACUAACUAGAUAAUAUAAUUUAAUAAUGGGGGGUUUGGUUUUGACGAGAAGUAAAUUAAACUUAAAUAAAUUACAGAAUUGACAAAAACAUGAAAUUAAGGUGAAAUGAUAGGUGACGGACUAGCUAGAGGGUUCUUCUCCACACAUGACACAUAUGCAACCUAAAUUGAUUUUCAGUUGUUCUUUCAAUAAAUUGUAAAUCUCAAUACUUCAGAUUAACCGUGAACAACACUUUUUUAAUCUUCAAGUUUUCCUUAAGUUAUUGAAUUGGACGGAAAAACGCAUACAACAAUUCAAAACAUUCUUCAAAAGUCCCCUACGUGAAAAGCACAAUAGAGAUACAAUCAAAGAUCAUUAAACUUUGUGAAAACUAUAAGCAUUGACGAGGCAUUCGUAACUAUGAAAAGCAUGAUACUCUUGCCAAGAAUUCACUUAACACGAUUGUGACUAGCAACCUUCACUACUUGUGAAUAUAAGUUCAUAACGAUUAGGUGAAAUUCACUUAUAUUCUAGCAUCAAAUUCAUGCAUGUAAAUUAAGUAUGCAUUCUUAAUCGACAUACAAAAAAUAAGUUAUCAAUCAAGCAGUUAAGCAAAUUAAAUCACAACUCAGAAAUCACAACUGAAGGUAAUCAAUUCAUAUUACAAAUAUAUACAUGGCUUUGAAUUAACCUCUAGCCAAAAUAAAAUUAGUUACACAUUAUUAUCAAAUUAAACCAAAAGUUAAACAUGAAGUUGAGAAGAUAAAACCAAGAAAAUAGAGUGAAGCUUUGCUCUCUAUGCCCUGCUUGUUUCUGCUUCUGUGCCGUGGCCUGUUGACCUGCGCCUCUCUCCUCCCCUGCUGCUCUGUCCGCACAGUUUUCUGUGCUGCCCGUGCCUUCUCGGUUUUCUGCUGCCGCAAGGCAGCUGUCUCUUCGUCCAGCCCUCUCUCCCCCGCGUCAAUCUCUCCCCCCUAUUUUUCUCUGCGCCUGCCUUCUUAUUUCCUUCGUUUCUGCUUUUUUUCUUUUUUUUUUUAUUAAAGCUGCAAGGGCAGCUAAGCUGCCUCCUGAUCCUCUCUGCGCCUUGCGUCCCUGCUCAUUCCCCACGUCUAUUCCUUUUCUGCUGUCUGUCAGUCCCCCUGCUCUCCCUCCUUCCGCUUUUUCUCUCUGGCAGCCUUGCUGCCUUCCUGCCCGUUUCUGUCUCCUUUUUCCUGCUUUUCCUUUGCCGUGACUUUUAUAUCUCCCACAUGCCUUUAGCUUUUCUUUCCCUUAAGUCUUCCUUUCUUCUUCUUUUAUUCAAUUUCUUGAUAGUGUGCACUCCACUUCUCUCUUUCUCCUCACUGAUAUCCUCUCUUUUUGCCUAUUUUAUUCCUUCUUUUCCCCCCAAGGCACGCUGCAAAGCAGCUUGCUGCUUAUUAUUUUUCUUUCUAGUGGAAGAUGCUGAGCUGCCAAUUCCUCUAUCAUUUUGCUCCUAGAAACACAAUAUAGCAAAAGUAUCACAAAUCCUAUAAUACGUAAAAACAAGGUAAAUAGCUCAAAAAUAUAAGGAACUAACUAAGAAAAGACGAGUGAAUUUGAAGUAAAAAUAUAUAUAAAUAUGAUCCGAUCAAAUACCCCCACACUUAGCUUUUGCUAGUCCUCGAGCAAAACAAAGAGAACAUGAAAAGUAAUAACAUGAAAAACAUUAGUUUCCCCCUAUGUGACUCUCAUAGAAUUUCAUUCGAGAAAACAAAUCAUCAAGAACCAUAGCUAGCACCAAACAAACUAAUCCAAGUUCAUCUUCCUUAUUCAAAUAUUAGCAGUAAUCUUUGAAUCAUCCUUGAAGUGUAGUGUGUGAGAUAGCCAUGCUAAUACAAUUUCAAAUUUUUAUUUUUAAAAUCAUCAUAUGCAAACUAGCAACCUUCUCACAGGAUAUGCCCUCAAUCACACAUGUGUUUAGUUUUAAUGUGUUUCGCUCAAAGAAUCAAAUGUGAAAUUUCUACCAUAAACUUGCAUAAAGAUCACUUCUCCACAGUCAUAAUUGCAAAACUUAAAUCAAGAGGACUUUUAUUGGAUGUAAUGAGGCUUAGGGAUAGGGUUAUUGAAACGAAAGAAUAGGAAAACCCAAAUUCCAAGCUACAUUGCAAGCAAUUCUUUUCUUUAGAUUUAUAAGAACUCAAGCUCUCCAACGAUUCUUCUAGCACCUCCAACCACACCCUUAAACUGAAACUUGAACAACUUUUUAUUUUCUUUGUGUACAAUCUUUCUUUUUUUUUUUUUUUUUUUUUUUCACAAAACUAAAUACAAACAUGAAAUACCCCCACACUUAUUCUUUUGCCAAACACCUUCAAAAUACUUCACAAAUGUUUCUUAUAAGACAAUCUCGCAUUGCUCACUAGCUUGCUUGGAAAGGGUAAGGAAAAAUGUUUCAGGCAUAAGGGUAGACAUAUCUGGUGAUGAGAAAUAAAAGGCUCAACAUACACGGCUCAAAUUGGCAAUCUAAUGAUAUCAUUUUUCUUUGGGAAACAUGGUUAUUUAGGCCAUAGUGGUAAACCUAAUGCCUUUAUCAUUUCCAAGUUCAUGCAAUCAAUGACAAACAUUUCGAAAGAUCGUUACGCAAGUUCUAGAGAUGUAUCUCACAUAAGUUCAUCACACAUGAAAGAAUAGGAGUGUAUGAAAAAUGCACACACUUUCAAUAGGCUCAAAAACUCACAUAGGAUGUAUAUGGUCACUAAAUUCACAUAUGAAGCUUUAAGUCAUGUUUUAGUUUCACAUCAACAAGGCUAUGUGCAUUUGGUUUUUCAAAGAUGAUCAAACAUGUACAAAACUAACAAGAGAAUUAGGAAUUUCACAAAACACAUGUUAACUAAGUUCUUGAUGAUCAUGGUUCAAAUUUGAUCCAAUUAUAUCAUUGGGUCGGGAAACUAACAAAAAUCUAAUUCAUAACAAUAAGGGAAACAAGACAAUAUUUUUGGAUUUUUUAAAUUUUCCGAUUUUUUUAAAUUUUUUUUUUUUUUUUAAAGAAAACAAAACUAAUUAAGAAAACAAAAAGCAACAACACAGAAACAAAUGAAACCAAUUCGUAGUCGAAGGCACAAAAAAUUUUAAUUUGGUCAUUUUUUUUUUUAUACUCUUUACCCCCAAACUUAAACUGGACAUUGUCCCCAAUGUCAGAAAACACUAUAAUGCAAAUAAAAAUAAAAUAAAUAAAUAAUAAGAAACAAAAUAAAACAAUUGGACUGAAAACUUCCCUAAAUUGCAGUAAAAUCAAGCGAUGACCCUCAAGCUAAAAUUCUGCAAUCAACUUCAAGGGUGGAAAUAACCAAAAGUUCCUGCAAAGAAAAGAAAUAAUUCAGUUAAGUAACACAAGAAAAUAUAAAAAAAAUUGCAAACGAAAAAUUGAAAAUCACGAUAAAAGACAAUGAAUAGAACUAAUAAGUGAUCAUUGGUCGUGCUUGUUGACUUUCCACAGCUUUCCUCUUGAACUGGGUGACACUUAGCUUUUUACUUGCAAGUGAUGAUUUGAUGAUAUUGUACGGCGAGGCUUUGCUCUUUGGGAAUGUUGCAGUUCCUUAUUUGUUCUCCAAGCAGAUGUGGCAGCUUCUCUUGUUCUUCAUCUCAGACUCCUUCCGCUAGGAUGAUUGUGCAAGUUGCAUUCUUCUCUGGUUGUUUCUUCUGUACGUUGUCUCCACAUGCUGCUGGUGUCAUUUUCGCUUGCCUUAUCUGUUCUUCAGGUAGAUGUGGCAGCUUCUUUGGAAGUACAUCAGCAGUGGAAGACGAGUACUCGAGAGCAAUUUCUCCAUGUCCUGCAGGUUAGAACAAAGACAAGGAAAAGGACAUGGAGAAUGCAUGAUAUGAGAUACUCUUGCUUUCAACCUUUAUGAUAUGAAAUACUUUUGCUCUGGAUGGGUUGUUAGCAGGGGUAUCCCAGGGAAUGAGGAAUACAAAGUGACUCGAGAGGGUUCUUUGGGAAUGCAUUCUCGGAGAUGAAGAAGUGCUGAGAGGGUGUGCCUUUGCUGUGGAAGGCGAAGGUAAAUACUUAUAGGACUUUUCUUCACAACCGGAACUAUUCUCUCACUCAUUGUCGGCAGCCGGUGGAUGGAUGAAUAGUACAAAUUACGCGCUUUCUGACAAAGCUGCCAAUUGUAUGUGACGAGUGACGACACGUCUGGACAAAUUGAUCUUUUGACAUCCGGGGUUCGGCUCGUGGUUUCUGAGCAAGCCCAUUUUUUUAGAAAUGAAACGCCUCUUUUGAGAAAAGAAUCCGGCUUUUGAGAAAGGAAACUCCUCUUUUGAGAAAAGAAUCAGGCGUUUGAGAACGGAGCCCCGACUCUUCGAUUUGCGAGAGGACGCUUCUCUGAGGAGCGCCUCUCCGAUUUCUUCUUUUUAUAGAGGCACUAAUUGUGUUCCACAACACACUUGAGCUCCCUCUUGUAAACACUCCCUUCUUGCAAUUUCCAAAAUCUUAAUCAUUCCGACUCUCUUCUUUCUUCACCACCUCUGAAAAAUGUCUGGCCCUUCUGAUCGUCGUUUUGACUUGAACAUUGGUGAAGAGGCAGCUCCGCCUUCACCAGACAACAUAUGGCGGCCAUCCUUCAUAUCCCCUACCGGUCCUCUUACCGUUGGGGAUUCGGUGAUGAAAAAUGACAUGACCGCUGCGGUGGUGGCCCGGAACCUUGUCACCCCCAGAGAUAACAGACUGCUUGCUAGACGGUCCGAUGAAUUGGCGGUUAAGGAGUCUCUGGCUCUUAGCGUGCAGUGUGCGGGUUCUGUAUCCAACAUGGCCCAACGCCUAUUUGCUCGAACCCGUCACGUUGAAUCGUUGGUGGCUGAAAUACAGAGUCUCAAAGAGGAGAUUAGAGGACUCAAGCAUGAAAAUAAACAAUUGCACAAGCUUGCACACAAUUAUGCCACAAACAUGAAGAGGAAAAUUGACCAGCUGCAAGACACUGAUGGUCAAAUUUUACUUGAUCAUCGGAGGUUUGUGGGUUUGUUCCAACCGCAUCUUCCUUCGUCUUCUGGGGCGGCACCCCGUAGUGAAGCUCCAACUGAUCAACCUCUGAUACCUCCUCUUUCCGUGGCCCCGCCGACUGCUGAAGCUCCGCCGACUACUGAAGCACCACCUGACCAAUGAAUGCUAUUAGUUUACACAUCAUUGUAAAAAAUGUUUAUUUCUAUUUUUUAUUUUUUAUUUUUUUAGGUGUGUUUUGUUUUGUUUUGUUUUUUUUUUUUUUUUUUUUUUUUUUUUUUUUUUUUUUUUUUUUUAAAUCAAUGUAAAAUAUGUAAAUCAAUGUAAAAAAACUUUGUUUAACCUUCCCCUACACUUAAACUAAAUAACACAAACUCACAUAAAUCAACCAAAUAACACAACUAACUGAACAAAACAAAAUGAAAGCAGUAAAGAUAAGGGUGUAAGAAUGCAAAUCUGAUUUGGUUAGCGAUUCCAAAGUCUCCCUUCGUUGAAUGCUUGGGUUGCCUCCCAAGAAGCGCUUGAUUUAACGUCUUUAGCCGGACGAAUCUUUCCUUUAAACUCCCCUCGGCUCCAAAGCAUGGAAUUUAUCUUUUAAUGGGAGGUGAUACUUGAAAUGAUUCGGCAAUGGUUUAAAUUCAAGAGUGGGUGCCUGAAUCAUCAAAAUCAGAAACAUGUUAGUAUAAAUUAAAAUUAGAAUUGGAGAAGAUGGCUUACUUUCUUUUUCUGACACAAACUCAAUGACAAACACCACAUCUGUGAACAUUUUCGGGACUUUGAACUUGGCCAGGUUUACUAUGAUGGUUGUGGCUUGUCCCGUGUCAUCAAACUCAACUGCUUUGGGCUUGAUUGUCUCAUGCACAGCCUCUUGGAUGUAUUCUUGAUAUGCUUCAACCACUUCAUUCUCUUGAAUCCCUUUUCUUGGCGUGCAAGGUUCUUUGAACGUUUCAAUACCAUCGGGAACUUGUUUUGGUGCACCAAGAAUUGGGAUAUCACUUUGCACCUUUGGAAGAGCUUCCACAAUGUCUUUUUCACUCUCUUUGAUAUUUGGAAUAAAAAACAGCAAGAAUUCUUCUAAACUGCCCAGGUCGUCCUCCUCCUCUUCUGCUUGCAGCAGCAAUUCAUCCAUGUUCGGGUUGUGUUUGGAUGGUUCUGGGACAGCUUCAUCCUUCAUGUCACCUUCCAAAGUGAUGGCUUCAUCGAUUUCACUUUCUGCCUUUGAAUUUGCAAUGUUUGAGUUGGAAAGUUCACUUUGAUCUCGAAUCUGUGCCAUGAAUUCCACAAUCUGCCCAACUUGCAUUUCCAAUUCGUCCACUCUUUUGACUCGGUCUUGCAUCUCCUGGUUUUGAUUUUCUACUCCCUGAUUCAAAGAGGUGAGUAACUUAUUAAGUGUAUCAUUAUCCAAGGAUGUACCUGAAUUGAAUUGGGUUGAUUGUUGUGGUGGCUGUGACGGUUCAUAUGGCCACUGAUAGAACUCUUCUGAUGGCGGCAAUUGUUCUUCUUUUCGUAAACCCUGCGCCACAGAAAUUAGUCCUUCAAGAAUUUCAUUAUAAUUCAUGGGCAUACUUUGAUUUGAUUGGAAUUGUUGUGGGGAAUGCUGUGGUGGUGGCUGCAUAGGUCUUGAAUAGAACUUGUCUUGCUGCCAAUAUCCACCUUGUUGAAAUUGUUGAGGUUCAUCCCACAUAUAAUUUGAAUGAUCUCUCCAAGCCGAAUUGUAAGCGUUGGAAAACAUGUUGUUGCUUGGUUGAUCAUAGCCUUGAUAACCCCAAGCAUCUUCAUUGGCAGAAAAUUGAGGACUUUGAUAUCCUUGCCCAUAGGGCACAUCAAGUGUAGGGACACUUGGCAUUGUGGUCCGUUCGGCAUUAUGAGUCAAUUGAGCAGUGAGUUGUGCCAAUUGAGCUUGAAUGGUCGCAAGUGCCAUGUCUCGCUCCAUUUGUACCUAAAAUCAAAGAAAGAAAAAUAAAUCAAAUAUCAAAAGUAAAAUACACAAACACCAAUAUAAACAUAAACAAAAACAAAAAUAAAGGGAUUAGCAAAGUUGCUAAUCCCCGGCAACGGCGCCAAAAUUUGAUGCGUAAAAUUACUUAACACACAAAUUAAACCCUCUUUUUGACAAUUGUAGUAUAGAUGUAAGUAGGGUAUCGUUCUAGGCCGGGGAUUAGGAGGGAUUGCUAAUCUAUUCUAAAUUAAUUUAAAAAUAUAUUAAACAAGACUCAAGGACACAAAACUAGGCUAAAAACUCUAAUAACUCGAAACACACUUAGGAUGACUCAAAAUAAUGAAAACAAUCAAAUUAGACACUAGGAACUGCAAUGGACGGAAAUUGAAUUAAAAGACUAACAACAAUGAAAACUAACUAGAUAAUAUAAUUUAAUAAUGGGGGGUUUGGUUUUGACGAGAAGUAAAUUAAACUUAAAUAAAUUACAGAAUUGACAAAAACAUGAAAUUAAGGUGAAAUGAUAGGUGACGGACUAGCUAGAGGGUUCUUCUCCACACAUGACACAUAUGCAACCUAAAUUGAUUUUCAGUUGUUCUUUCAAUAAAUU
RNAcentral lists this long non-coding RNA (7556 nucleotides) under Malus domestica (apple). Its description in RNAcentral is "long non-coding RNA (MDOM_LNC003141)". Lineage: Eukaryota; Viridiplantae; Streptophyta; Magnoliopsida; Rosales; Rosaceae. The record is from RNAcentral.